AGAGCUUUCAACAAAAUGCUAUAUUCCCUUCAAGACACUUGCUUGAAUUGAAUGGCAAGCAUGCAGAUUUUUCCAACACCUUACAUGAAAACAGAAUAAGACAGAUAAUAUCCUUUUCAAAAGAGCAGAGAGACAACUUCCUGAAACUGAUCUGAAAACUAUGCGUACCUGGGACUGCCCUUUUGUUUUCCCUGGAUCCAAUCAUAAGCAUUCCAGUGAAAAGCUUUCUCCUCCUCCUCACCUGACUGAGAGACCUUAAGAAGUUAAAACAAAAUAAGGUAAUGAUGUCUAUUGCUGAGAAGCUAACACUGAUGCCAUGGGACAGCUUGGACUGAAGAGCUCAGAUAUGAUAAAGAGGAUUUUGAGUUUCUUACAAGGUCUUUCAGAAUAAAUAAAAGAAUUCCAAUGAGAUGAUCUGUCUAGAAUGUAAGAGAAACAACAACAGAACAAGGGACCGUUAAAAGAUAAAGAAUCAGCUCAGGUCUGAAAACAAGCAGAUGAUGAGGAAGAAGAAAACAACAUGUACCAAGUUCCAAACUGUCAAACAACUCUUCUGAACACUUACCCCAUGCUGAGCCUGCUAUGGAGAAUCUCUCUCUGUCACAGAAGCCAGCCGGACAUCCUGCAGGAGGAAGGUUCUCCUGGGUACAGACCUAACAGCAAAUCUGGAGCAUGAAAUCAAGAUGACUUCAAGAAAACUUCAGUGUUUUCCAAGCAAAGACUCUGCUUUAUGAGAUAUUUAUUCCCAUGAGUAAUGCCCUUCUCUUUGAGUGACAAUUUACUGCAUCCUUGGAAUUGAGUAGUAUACUGUGUAUAUCUUUAUGAUACAUUAUGGAUGCAUGUAGUUUAUAGUAAUCUAUAAAUACACAUGCACACAUAAAAAUAUAUGUACUUUUACUAUUUAUAUAAUGUGCAAAUCAUACACAUACAUAACUUUUUAAUAUUAUUUACAUAUAAGUAUAAAAUUUCAUGGACUGAAAGCAUAGUAUCACUAGGCCUAUGUUAUGGGGAAUUCAUAACAUGCACUAUAAUAGAUAGAUAUUUAUUUAGAUAUUAAAUAGAUAAGAGAUUUUGUUUACAAUACUAAUAUUUCACUUUUCUAUGGUUAAGAGCCGGUACUUUGUGCCUUAGCAGUUGUAUAUAUAGAAGUAUAUAGGUUAGAUAAAGAGGCAAAAUUGAUGAUAUGCUUAAUACCUGAAUGCUUUUUGAGUGACCUCCACUGGUGAUCUGACCUGAAUUGGUUCCACUAUUGAAAUUUUGAGUGGCAGUAAUAUCUACAUCAACAAAAUAACCUACAAAACUCCUGUGUAUUUGUUCUAUUAUGGAGACUGAAGUGUGGAGGAAAACAGGGUUUGAAAUGAUGGUUUUUUUCUUCUCAGCAAUGCUACAGAGUGUGAUAAACAUCACACCACUUGCACAUUAAAUAACAGUUAGUAGGAACAGUUACCAGCAAUCUUGAAAGCAUUCAACUUCAUUUAAAUAUUUUAGACUUACAAUCAUUCUAUAUACUCAUUAUUGAUAACUUUUUUUUUUUUUUUUUUUAAUUUGUAAGCAAACAAUUUUUUCUACGUCACAUCUCAAGUACAGGAAAUUACUCUUGCAUCUUCUUGUCAUUUACAAUUUUCCAUCUUUUGCUGCAAAGCUAUGAUAAAUGAAUUUUCAGUGAGAUCACGAAAGCAGCCUUGUCAUUCUGUCACAAAACAAGCCUUAGAUAACAAAAGUUAAUUACUGCAUUCUCUUAGUUUUGAAAUAAAGAAUUUUCACUGCUUCAGAGGCAGAUUUGAAUCUGCAGAUUAAAAGGAAUAGUACAAAAAUAACCAUAAAAAUUGCUUCUUUAGAACACAUAAAGCUACAUCUGUUUGAAGACAAAAACAUCAGUAAUUUCUCAAGAUAAGUAAAGUAGAUGAUUGUCCAAGACUUCUGUUUAAUGUUUGAUAUUAAAGUAUGUUGGGUACUGUCAUUGAGAAAGGUAAUAAUUAUAGAAUAUCUUUAGCUGCAAAAGACCUAUAAGGAUCACUGAGUCCAGCUACUGGCUUCACACAGGAUUACCAAAAAAUCAGACAAUAUCUCUGAGAGCAUUCAUCUCAGAUGUUUCAUUUUUGACUUCAUGAUGUAUUGGAUACAUUCAGUUUUAUAAAUAAAGUGUGAAUAGGUAUGUAUUAAUAAGGCUAUAACAAGUUUACAGAGAGAGAACUGAGAGGAUGAGAAUCAUAUCAAACACUUAAACUGUUAAAUGAAGAAUAAUCUGUUGGUGCCUUGUAAUGCUUUGCUUGAGUGAAGAGGCAGUAAAAUCUGUCAGAUUAGAUUUGAUCAACUGACACAGUCAAUUCAAAUUCCUUCAAAAGAUGCCUGUAGACUUUACCUUACCAUAUCAACCUUAAGUUAUGUAAUGGUAACAAGGCAUCUCUUUUGGAAAGAUAAACAGCUUUGGUUGAAAAGUUUAAUGUGAUGGGAGAGUAGCAAAUUAACUGGAAUAUGGAUGAUCAUUUUUUACUUAAGAAUAAGGACAAAGAUAAAAAGUAAUAGAAAAUGAAAGAAAACAAACUGUUGUUAAGCAUAAUUUUAAUGAGUCCAUUGACUCUAAAAGAAAAGUAGAUCUGUUUCUAAUAGCAGGAUAAAUUAGCUCAUGCUUCAGACUUUUUAAAAAAAUAUAUUACUUUAAAUGCAGAAUUUACGUUAUUUAUAUAUAUAUAUAUAAUGUAUUUAUUUAUUUAUCGUUAAAUUUCACAAUGUUCAUUCAGACCUUCACAUUUUCAGGUAUCUAAGAUUUCUUCUUUCCCAAGGCAGGUUAUGCCAAUGAUUCAUUACUGCUGUUUUAAAAUGCAUAAUUUACUUCUGGUCACUAUCCAGCCUCAUCUGUUAGAUUAGGGAGAUCCACCAAAAUAAGGUUUCAUCUUAUGUGGAUAUCUGCAGAAUAUCAUGAGAUCUGUUAUUUUAACUUUCACAUUACUGAAAUAGAUUGCCUUUCCCACUCUGUUAGGCUUUCUAAAUUUGAGUACCCUGCCAUGUAGCCCAUUCCAGUGAUAUAUCACUUACAGAGAUGGAGAUUUGCAAAAGCAGUCCAUUUGGACAUAAACAGUGGCUGCACUGGCACAGUGGAAUUACAUCUGUCCCAUCAUAUUUAAAGAAGCACGAGACCAGUAAAAUCUAGCUGCAUUUGUCCUUAUGGUACAAGUAGUGAAACUGUGGGCUAUGUACUGGAACAGAGUCUGAGUCAAGAGAACUACAAGCCUGAGGACCUCAUGUUAAAUCACGGGUUUAGAAAGUGUUCAUCCCUUGUGACAAGAGACUACAAAACUAGGAGAUAAAAUUAUGUGACAUCGAAUACCACAGACUGUCGGGUACCAUUUUCAGUGAAUUAUGUUGGAAAUCUUUUAUUAAGAUAACUGAAAAGAAAUCAGUUUUAAACAGAAAUGUAGUCAAAUAUCAUUCUAGGUAAUUAGACUUGGGAAUCAGAUACUCCUCCAAUGAAUAAAAGAAACAGUCACUAACACGUACUUUUCAUUUUCAAGAAAUGUCAGGCAUUUGAAAAAAAAAAUAGGCUAAUGUUUUUGAAAUACAGACAAAUGAAAUUUUGUGCACUAUUACAGUGCCACUACAUCUGAAUAAGGUCCUUACAGACCUUGACAGUCUAGAGAGAUAGGCUGACAAGAAGCUCAUGAAGUUCAACAAGGAGAAGUGUGAAAUUCUGUACCUGGGGAGGAACAACCCAGGCACUAGGAGAUGUUGGAGACCACACAUCUGGAAGGCAGCUCUGCAGACAAGGAUCAGAAUAAAGGAAUGGAGUCUUGGAGGGAUCUCAUCAUCUAUAAAUACCUGAAGAGAUGCUACAAUGAGGACAGAGCCAGUCUUUUUUCAGCCCGGUGUCAAAAUGAGAGGCAUAGGGCAUAAGAGGUUCCAUCUGAAUAUCAAGAUGUGCUUCUGUGCUAUGCAGAUGCCCAGAGAGAUGGUGGAGUCCCUGCUUGGAGAUCUCCAGAAGCCACCUGGACAUGGCUCUGGGCACCUAGCUUUGAUGUCCCUGCUUGCGCAUGGGUUGGGCCAGGUGGAUCCAGAGAUCUCUAUCAACCUCCAUCAUUCAGUGAUUCCACAGUCUUGUAAGAACAUUUGGCAGAUGGCAGACAAAACACUGGAAAUACACAGAAAGCGAAACCAAAGAAAUUAACAGACCUUUCUCAAUCGUUUCCAGUAGCAUGCUCAGCAUUAUGAACAAAUUUGAGCAUUGCUCAAUGUAGUUAUACUUUUAUACUUUUAUUGCUAAAUUGCAAAAGUGUAUUCCUCCUUUAAUUUAGCUGCUUUUCUAUGAAGUUCCUUCUCUUUUCGUGGAAGGUUUUGAUGGAAACAACAGUCACCAAGGGAAAUGAUGAUAAAGCUUCAGGUUGCUGCAAGAGUUCUGGUCUAAUGGGACCUGCAGAGCAACUAUGCUCACGUGAAACAUACUCAUGCCCCACUAGCAAAGACUGAUGUGCAAGAUAUAAAAUAGGUUACCCAAGUUUAUAAAGAAAAAUCUGGAAAUUAUUGUGCCAGAAACACUGGUGUUGGUGUGGUUAUUUUUCUGGAAAGUGAUAUGGAAUAAGGUGUCCAGGAGCUGCUUUGGUACUAUUCUUUCUCAGAGUGUUGAUCGAGAGCUUUGCACAUCCAGUCAGUUUUAGGUGGGGCAAUCACAGCUUUUCACCAUACCUGCUAAAUGCAAAGGAAUGUGUAUAAAUAAGCAGUGAAAUACAAGAGUACUUAGGGGUAAGAAUGAUAACAGUAUUAGGGAAGCAGGAUAACAAGUUGAUUUUUUUUUGUUGUUUUUUUUUUUUUUGUUUUUGUUUUUAAAAUCAAAUUAAAAUAUUUACCAUGCAUGCUUUUUAAAUGAAAGUUUAUGAAUUGCAAAAUGGAAUAUGUGCCCCGGUGGCACAGUGGUAGGAAUGCCACUUUGCAACACCAGAGCCCGGGUUCUAAUCCCCCUGUGGAACAAGUGGUAGAAGUGCCGUUGUGCUACACAGGAGGCUCGAAUCCCGGGGGCUGGACUCGAUGAUCUCUAAGGUCCCUUCCAACCUGCAUGAGACUGUGAUACUGUGUGAUACUGUGUGAUACUGUGAUAUUAUACUUUGGAAAAUUCUAAUUUCUUUAUAACAUACUCUCUGUACAUUUCAGUAAUACUGAAUACUUGCUGCUGCUAUUUUAUCUCCCUCAAGAAAAGUGAGGUGAAAAACUUCACCCAUUUUUAAAGUUGUUUCAGGAGAAUAAGUCUGAAUCUGACCAUAAAAAAGCAAGUUCAGUAUUGUACAAAGCAGAAGGAGAAUGAGUAUAAUCAGUCCCAGAAAGAGUUGUAUUAGCAUAAUUUAAAUUAUGCAGUCGUUCUCCUUUUCUGUGCUGUUCUCUACUGCCACUCCAGAACUACAUAUGCAUACAGUUAUGUCUUUAUAGUUUACCUUCCUUACCUGAAACUGGGUGGUUAAGUCAAUGUAAAUUGUUUCUAGUAGAACUUCAAGAAUCAUCUCUGUUCUUCAAUCCUCUAAUUGCAUCUAAAGGAAAGUUCAAAGUAACAGCUGUUCAGUACAACAUUCCAGAUUAAAUAAAUCUUUUCAAAGUGGAUAAGAAUAAAGAAAAUAAUGAAAGUGUCCCUAUUCAAAUGGGGUUUCUUAUGCAAAUUGCUUUCAAGUUACAAUUUUUAGUGAUUAAUAAGAGCCUUAAACUUCAAGUAUAGUAUUAACAUAAAAAUGGUAAAAUAGUUUUGAAUAAACUCUUAAAAGUACAUUCCAGAGGCAUAUUUAGGUCAUGUUUCAUAUUCAAAACUUACAUUUAGUAAUAAUGGUUACUGUGCAUCACAUUUACAGCCAUCUUUCUCUGUUUAAAUUACCUUCUUCUUACUGUAUUCUACUUCUUGCAAAAUGUGAAGAUAUGGACAAAUUGUUCUCAUCUCUUUAGUGGCACUAGCUGAAAUCACAGUCUAAGGAACCAGAUAGGUACUUUCUUUACAGGUCAAAUUUCCAAAACUUUUGAUUCUGUAUAUUAAGAGUCAUAUAGAGUAUCCCACAGCUCAUUAGAUUAUAAUCUAAAGAGACAAAUGAAGAAUGCUUUCAUAAGGGAUAACACUGUAUAAAAUGCACCUCUAUGGAAGUUAAUAAGAGAAAACAAGGAUGCUUUUCAACUUAGUUUAGCAUUCUAAAUCAUUCAUCUGGGAAGCAGUUGCAUUACUAAGUUAAAUUCUAAUUUAGUUAUUUAAGUAACAGCGUGAAGAAUCCAGAAAUUUGUAUACCUGACAGUGGAAAAAGCCCAUGUCUGAGACAGCUAGCAAGCCACAUACAUAUCUUAUAACACCACUGAACACUGCUUACAAUAUUUUAGUUUUUCUCUGCCGUGUAAUUGCAUUUUCAAUACAUUUUCCUUGGAUAAUUGUUUUGCAUGGUGUAAAAUUCAAUUGACAUGUCACAGAAUAUUGUCAGCUGUAUCUAUUAGAGGCUGUUCUCAAGAGAUGCCAUUUUUGCAAUCAUUAUAUUUAUAUUUUAGGCACUUCUUAGAGAAAUGAAGUGUCAUAAUAUUUGAUAAUCAUUUAUUCAUUACCAUAAAACCUGUGAUGGAUGAUAAUAUGCAGAAAACUGUGAGGUACUACAGCAAGUGUAAUGGCUUAGAAACACUGACUCUUGCUGAGAUAAUAUAUCCUCUUGGUAAUUCUUUCUUCAGUCAAAAUUUUCAGAAAAGGAAGACUGUGUCAUGCAGAAUUUGAAAUGGAUAACAUUGUUCAAAAAGGGGCCUGGGAUCAAGAUGCAUAUGAAAAAAAUUAAAAACAAAACAAACAAACAGAAAAAGGUUUCAGUGGAAAAUCUGACUAUACAGAAUACAUAAAUCUGAGUUUCUUAAGUUUUGGAGCUGUUAAAUACUACUAAGCUCAUGGCUGAGCAUGCUACAUCCACAGUCUCUGGUGCUUGCUGCUCACAAAACUCUCAAGUCAUUAAUAGUCUGUGAACCACCCUGACCCACACAUUAACAAGUUUUCAGUUUAUUGUUCAAAGUAAAAUGAUAAUAGCUGGGUUUGAUCAAAGAUUUUUCUCAGUCUUUGCAUUUGCUAGUGGCGAUUAUGAACAAACUAUGCAGGAGAGAAAACUUAUGUGAGAAGUCAGAGGCAUUAGAAACUCUAAAAGAUACAGAAUGGCUCUACGAUAUAGCUCCUAUAAAGAAAAGACUUAAUUAUACGUCAGAUUUUAAAUUCAGUAACUCAUAUAUGGCAGUUAUUAAAGAAAAAGAAAUAAGUGUAUGAAAUGUUGAUACAAAUCAGAGCAUGAAAACUAUAUAAAGAUUAGAAUAGUGGGUGAAUUUUCUAUAAAUUAAACUAGGAUUCUAACAACAGUUUUUAGAAUUCUUUGGGGAUAAUAAUAUGAAGUGUUAGCUAUUAAAUAAAGUAUCGUCAAAGACUGAGGUAAUUAACAUUUUAAUCAGUAAACCAGUAGAAAAUUCAUGGUCUGAGCUGUUAAAAUAACUUUUUUGCAAGCACACCAGCUACAGAUUAAAAUAUUCCUUUAACUGUUGUUAGUUAUAUAACAAAAUUGCUUGACUGCUUUAAGGCUGGUGGCAUGGCAACAGAUCCAUGACUACCACAAUAUAACUUCAUUUAUAAGUGAGUUAUUCCUCUGUAUUUUUAGCUGCAGUUCAUGCAGAAUAAGUUACUGCCAGAUUUCCUCCAAAGAAGUCAGUGCUUGAGGUCACUGGAUCACUUUUUAGAGCUUCAUUUAAAUAAAAAGGUAGACCAUAAAACUGAUGUACACUAAUCUUUCUUCAAAUUUUUUAUGCACUUGUCACAUCUGUACAGACACACACCCACUUCUCAAUGUGUAAUUUAUUUGGCACUUCUUAAUUUGUCACAGUAAAGGAGACCUUGAAUUCAGGAAAAUAUGCCUUAUUGGGGCCAGAAAAUAAUAAGUAGGAGAAUGCAAAGAGUCUAAAAGUAGAUGCUGCUCCUCACUAUAUCAGACCACAUACUGUAAGUGUUCUGUUUACAUUCUGCACCAUAUUUUGAAAACUGGGACUAGAUUAAGCUAGUAAUGCUUUUCUGUAAGGAGAGCUAAAACACUGCAGGGACCUUGUUUCAUGUAGCUCUGAGAUGAGCUCACUCGGUUGGAGGUAGGAUUAUUAUAAAGUUCCGGAAUUAGAUGAGUCCAUGGGAAUCUAUGUCCAUAAAUUACAUUAUUUAUUUUCUAAUUAUUAGGUAUCAUAUAGAAAGUAACAUAGGAAAAAGACACACAAAAAACUUGGUGGUCCUUCUUUGGUCUCACUAGAAAGACUGGUGUUUUGAUGAUUUUUGACUCUAUCCUUUUGCGUUGUGACUGAAGAUCAGAAGUAGUACCAGACCGGUAUAGGUGGUGUGGAUCAGAAUGCAGCAGAAUACUGUCAUGUCAAAGUGUGCAUAUACUGCAGUCACAGGAGAAGCUUACCAAAGCUGGUUAUUCAUAACUCAUGAAUUUUACAUAAGUAACUGCAUCACAGUUUUAUCUGAGCAAGUUUUAAAUUAGCUAGUUCUUCUGCAAAGAGCUGCUAUUGCGGUACUGCAGAUCUCAACAUAUUUCAGGGACUAAGCAUGUUUGAAAAGCCUGGUACUUAGUUCUGUGGCUAGACUCCACAUAGGUCAGAGACCUGUGGGACCAGGUCCCAGAUUAUGUCAGGUGUGUCCAUGUUGCACUGAAAACAUAGUGGAUACCGCAACUGAGAUACUGUGAACUUUUGGCAAAAUUACCUUGAAGACACAGAUUUAAGUUAAUAAGGAUUUCUCAGGCUCCUCAGAGAGGGUAGAUGUAGAUGCUGGUCUGCCAAAAGAAGCUUUCUCUCUAGCAUGCUGGAAGACAAGAAUGUAUUGAGGUGCAAAUAUACCUCAGAGUAUCUGCUAAUGGAUUUUACUGUUGUUGAAGUUCAUGAUUUCAGCAGACAUUUUAGAAGUUUGGGAAGAAUUUCACCAAACUUCUGGUAUGUUUAACCAUCUUUUCUUGUGAGAACCUGAGACAAGGUAAAGUAAUUGCCGAAGACAUCCUUUUUUGCACAAGAUGUAGUACUGAGCAGAGCUCUCUGAGAUAGCACAGAGGUAAAUCUCAGUUGUUUGUGGCUCAGCACAAUGAGGAUCCUGAAGUGUUACUGAUGGGCUAUCUCUGUGACUGAAGCCAGUAAGAUGUUUAUUUUCCAAAGGUACUCACUAUAAAUGGAUGUUACUUCUCAUUUUGGUGUUUUCUAGAUAAUGACAGUUGGGCUUCUCAAGUAAAAACUUUUUAAAUUAUUCAUUUUUUUUGUGUAUUUAUUUAUUGUGAGGAGAGGGUGAUAAGUUCUCAAAUUUCUUGUGAUGCGUCUCAGAAAGAUAUGAAACUCUUGCUCACUUUUCAUACCCAGAGAGUCUUCUUGUCUUCUCCUAAGGUUAAAAACAUAACAGCCAAGUUGUAUAAUAUGCCCACAAUAGUAUUUCUUGACACAUUUUUAAGAAGCCUAGAUAGAAGAUAUGUCAAACCAUAUGGAAAGAAGAGGUUUCACUUUUCUUUUUUUAACCAAAAACUAUUUUUUAAAAUUAUUUUUACUCACUGAACUU
Non-coding RNA from Coturnix japonica (Japanese quail), 9547 nucleotides. NCBI's taxonomy places the organism in Eukaryota, Metazoa, Chordata, Aves, Galliformes, Phasianidae. The record is from RefSeq and is a predicted model, not a curated record.